RNAcentral lists this ribosomal RNA (815 nucleotides) under uncultured marine microorganism. Its description in RNAcentral is "bacterial SSU rRNA". It matches the Rfam family "Bacterial small subunit ribosomal RNA", at positions 8 to 831 of the family's 1533-position model. The record is from RNAcentral.
AGAGUUUGAUCAUGGCUCAGGACGAACGCUGGCGGUGCGCCUUAUGCAUGCAAGUCGAGCGAAGCUUUUCAGUAGUUUACUACAGAAAAUGACUGAGCGGCGAACGGGUGAGUAACGCGUGAGCAACCUACCUUAGUUACUGGGAUAGCCCGAGGAAACUCGGAUUAAUACCGGAUAUUCUUAUUUAAUCACAUGAUUUUUUAAGGAAAGGUCAGCCGAACUAAGAUGGGCUCGCGUUCUAUCAGCUAGUUGGUAGGGUAAUGGCCUACCAAGGCUACGACGGAUAGCUGGUCUGAGAGGACGAUCAGCCACACUGGGACUGAGACACGGCCCAGACUCCUACGGGAGGCUGCAGCAGGGAAUAUUGCGCAAUGAGCGAAAGCUUGACGCAGCGACACCGCGUGUGGGAUGACGGAUCUAGGUUUGUAAACCACUUUCAGGAGGGAAGAAAAUGACGGUACCUCCACAAGAAGCCCCGGCCAACUACGUGCCAGCAGCCGCGGUAAUACGUAGGGGGCGAGCGUUGUCCGGAUUUAUUGGGCGUAAAGAGCUCGUAGGCGGUUCAACAAGUCGGUCGUGAAAGUUCAGGGCUCAACCCUGAAAUGUCGAUCGAUACUGUUGUGACUAGGAUACGGUAGAGGUGAGUGGGAUUCCGAGUGUAGCGGUGAAAUGCGUAGAUAUUCGGAGGAACGCCAAUUGCGAAGGCAGCUCACUGGGCCGCUAUCGACGCUGANGAGCGAAAGCUAGGGGAGCAAACAGGAUUAGAUACCCUGGUAGUCCUAGCUGUAAACGAUGGAUACUAGACGUANGAAUUG